UACUACACUGCGUGAGCGGACGAAAACAACAACACCUAAAAUGUGGAAUAUAGCAUAUAGUCGACAAGAGAAAUCUACGAAAAACAAACAAAACUUUCAACAACGGAUCUCUUGGUUCUCGCAUCGAUGAAGAGCGCAGCGAAAUGCGAUACCUAGUGUGAAUUGCAGCCAUCGUGAAUCAUCGAGUUCUUGAACGCACAUUGCGCCCCUCGGCAUUCCGGGGGGCAUGCCUGUUUGAGCGUCGUUUCCAUCUUGCGCGUGCGCAGAGUUGGGGGAGCGGAGCGGACGACGUGUAAAGAGCGUCGGAGCUGCGACUCGCCUGAAAGGGAGCGAAGCUGGCCGAGCGAACUAGACUUUUUUUCAGGGACGCUUGGCGGCCGAGAGCGAGUGUUGCGAGACAACAAAAAGCUCGACCUCAAAUCAGGUAGGAAUACCCGCUGAACUUAAGCAUAUCAU
RNAcentral lists this ribosomal RNA (456 nucleotides) under Pichia sp. CS9. RNAcentral's name for it is "eukaryotic LSU rRNA". The stretch from base 92 to 244 matches the Rfam family "5.8S ribosomal RNA". Lineage: Eukaryota; Fungi; Ascomycota; Pichiomycetes; Pichiales; Pichiaceae. The record is from RNAcentral.